UGGGGGAUAUUGCACAAUGGGCGAAAGCCUGAUGCAGCGACGCCGCGUGGGGGAUGAAGGCCUUCGGGUUGUAAACUUCUUUUGCUCUGAACAAGGCGCACCAUGGGGUGUGUUGAGUGUAGGGGUUGAUUAGCGCCGGCAAACUACGUGCCAGCAGCCGCGGUAAUACGUAGGGCGCGAGCGUUGUCCGGAAUUAUUGGGCGUAAAGGGCUUGUAGGUGGCUGGUUGCGUCUGUCGUGAAAGCUCAUGGCUUAACUGUGGGUUUGCGGUGGGUACGGGCUGGCUUGAGUGCAGUAGGGGAGGCUGGAAUUCCUGGUGUAGCGGUGGAAUGCGCAGAUAUCAGGAGGAAUACCGGUGGCGAAGGCGGGUCUCUGGGCUGUUACUGACACUGAGGAGCGAAAGCAUGGGGAGCGAACAGG
RNAcentral lists this ribosomal RNA (419 nucleotides) under bacterium. RNAcentral's name for it is "partial 16S ribosomal RNA". It matches the Rfam family "Bacterial small subunit ribosomal RNA", at positions 355 to 776 of the family's 1533-position model. The record is from RNAcentral.